This is a long non-coding RNA of Oncorhynchus gorbuscha (pink salmon), 733 nucleotides long. RefSeq lists it as uncharacterized. NCBI's taxonomy places the organism in Eukaryota, Metazoa, Chordata, Actinopteri, Salmoniformes, Salmonidae. The record is from RefSeq and is a predicted model, not a curated record. The transcript is spliced from 3 exons.
AGUCAGUAGACAUAGAACAUGGGAAGCCUGAUCUGCUGCUGGUCAAAGAGGAGACAAUAGAAGUUGGACCAGAGAGCACUGACCUGCGGAGAGGAUUAAAGAUGGGGGAUCAAGGUGGUUGGCUGGAGGCUAACAAAGGAGACUGGGCAGCCAUCUUUGAUUCCUAGACCCAGACUGAUGCAGUCAAGUGCCCAUGGGACAACAUCACUGAGCAGGCAAUGGACCAGAGGUGACAUAGUGGAGUCUGCAGUCCAUGAGGACCUGCUGAUAUCCGGUAUUGCUGGUGGGAGAGAGUGGACCUCUGAAGCAGCUGGUCACAAACCCUGGCCCUUGGUCAGAACCAGUCACUUCCUUCCAGAACCAGGACUGAACCACGAGGGACAGUGCAGGGACGGAGCAGGGCCUGGGGAUAAUAGAGAUAGACCAUCCUGUUUCCAUGAUACAAACAUCACAGUAUCCAUGAUCAGGAUGGGUGUUCACCACGAGAGGUACCUAGCCUAUAACACAGCACACAAUCCCAACAACACCCAAACAAUGGCUCAAGGUCAAGGAGGGAGCUAAAAGACUAACCACCUCAGGGCGGUGACUCCUGCUUCUGCCUCGUCUGGUGUAAUUGGGUCACAAUGUGGGAGGCCGAGCAUUAGGACGGGCGCCAAAAAGCAGUAAGUACACCUGCCCAACGUGUAGCAAGGGCUUCGCUUAGGUGAACUCCACUACAUGACCAAAAGUAUGU